Molecule: small nuclear RNA, 103 nt
Filed under: Castor canadensis (American beaver)
Lineage: Eukaryota; Metazoa; Chordata; Mammalia; Rodentia; Castoridae
Source: RNAcentral
AUGUUCACUUAAGCAGCACAUAUACUGAAAGUGGAGUGAUACAGAGAUUAACGUGGCCAUGCACAAGGAUGACAUGCAAAUUCCUGAAGUGUUACAUAUGUUA